This 497-nucleotide ribosomal RNA is filed under the name uncultured bacterium. RNAcentral's name for it is "partial 16S ribosomal RNA". It matches the Rfam family "Bacterial small subunit ribosomal RNA", at positions 28 to 507 of the family's 1533-position model. The record is from RNAcentral.
GAUGAACGCUGGCGGCGUGCCUAAUACAUGCAAGUCGAGCGAACAGACGAGGAGCUUGCUCCUCUGACGUUAGCGGCGGGCGGGUGAGUAACACGUGGAUAACCUACCUAUAAGACUGGGAUAACUUCGGGAAACCGGAGCUAAUACCGGAUAAUAUAUUGAACCGCAUGGUUCAAUAGUGAAAGACGGUUUUGCUGUCACUUAUAGAUGGAUCCGCGCCGCAUUAGCUAGUUGGUAAGGUAACGGCUUACCAAGGCAACGAUGCGUAGCCGACCUGAGAGAGUGGUCGACCGCACUGGAGCUGAGACACGGUCCAGACUCCUACGGGAGGCAGCAGUAGGGUAUCUGCCGCAGUGGGGGAGAACCUGACGGAGCAACGGCGCGUGAGUGAUGAAAGUCUUCGGAUCGUAAAGCUCUGUUAUUAGGGAAAAACAAAUUUGUAAGUAACUGUGCACGUCUUGACGGUACCUAGUCAGAAAGCCACGGCUAACUACGUG